Molecule: long non-coding RNA, 411 nt
Organism: Mytilus trossulus (common blue mussel)
Lineage: Eukaryota; Metazoa; Mollusca; Bivalvia; Mytilida; Mytilidae
Exons: 3
Source: RefSeq, a predicted model, not a curated record
CAUAUUUUCGCGGGAUUUUAACAGGAAGUCGGAUUGCCCAUGCGCAUUAUUUAAACGCGUCUUUCCUGUAUUUCAAAAAGAAUAACAAAGGACGAGGUUGCAGAGAAACUUUCCGUUUAUCACGCAUAUUUAUGUUUCUUGUCAAACAAAUCAUUGGCUGUAAUGCAUCAAGUGGAGCAAAAUCAAAAAUCAGUUUUGGGAAUGCCAGUCUUUAAAAUCAUCAAAGAAGUUAAAUAUACUGCAAAAGUAUAAAGAUGUCAUUGGGAAAUACACAUCUGAUAAAGACCCCUCCUGCUUAAAGUCUACCGCAGAAAUAUCUCGAAGUGGUGGAAGAAUGAUGACACGCAAUAAGGACAAACAGAGACAAAGAUAACAAAUGAAUUUAUAAAAUAAAUAUUGUAUCAAAAGAAA